UCCCCCUUGAACUACUCUGUGUGCAUUUUCCAGAGAGCGUGUGUUUCAAAUGAAAGGUCAAACAGGAGAUCGGUUUCAGUUUGGAGCUACAGGAGGGUGAUUAUUUCUCUAAUGUGAUUUGCUUCCUGUUGCUAAAACAGUCCUUUGAAAUGAGGUUGUUUGCUAAGUGAGGCAUCUCCUUCCUCUUUCUCCUGUGGAUGAAUUACAGAGUAAGAAGAAUCAUUCUGAGGCUCCUCACUGUGAUGGACUGAGGAGCCUUAUUUAUUCCCUGUGGAUAGUGGCCUGCCACUGGAGAGCCACAGGCUGGAGUGACAGAGCUGACUCAUGGGGUAGGGAGAAAAUGGCCUGGAUCACUGACAGAGGAAUCAAACUCAGGACCUUGUGCUUGCAAGGCAGGCGGCAGAACUACUGAGCUAAAUUCCCGGCCCACAAUGUUCAUUUUCAUUGCUGUGAUUACAUUACACUGGUUGCAGAUGGGUGACUGCUGCCUGAUCCUGGGUGAGAGGCAUUUUCUUUGCCAGUUGUCCAAAGAAUGGAAAUUUCCUGCAGUUUCACAGACAUAAUGGAUAUAUGCUGACUUUUUAAAAGCCAUCUGUUACUAGGGGCAAAAAGAAAUAAAAGAGGAAAAUACUUACUUUUAGACUCUCUAAUAUACGUGAAAAAAAAUCUUCCUAAAGAAAUGAGCAAAAAAAAAAAAGAAAGAAAGAAAAGAAAAGAACAACAGUCUUCAUAAAUCUGGAUCCUAGUACUCAUAUUGCAGGUUACCAGGUUCCAAGUGGCAUCUUAAGACCGGGAGGACACAAGGAACAAGGUGCAGCCUAAUCUGAAGAACAAGGGCAGUUCCUACGGAUGUGGACCUUGAGCAUCAGCUGGGCAGAAUGAAGUGAGACAGAAGCUGUCUCCUCGCUGAGUCUGGCAGCCAAAGAGGCUCAGGGGCCCGGACCCAGGAUGAACCUCAUGGGAAACCUCUUGGACCUCACCUUGCAGAUUCUACCAACUUUGCUACUAGGCUGUAACCUUGAUGAAUGGAAAAGAACGGGUCAUCCUAUCCACUGGAUUAUUUAAGUCUUCUUCUGCUGAGAUCACCUUUGGUGAGCAUUUAUGUGGAACACAAAUAUCUUUAUGUUCUUUGUCUAAAUGGAGAGGUCUAGUCAUAUACCUCAUUCCCAAAUAUCUUUGUCACCAGUUUUCUAGUCACGUUCCUUCCAAGUCCCUGACCAUCUGGCCAGACCAUUGGCUACAGCCCAUGAAUCAGUAUAUAGUUGCACAUCUGAUCAUUCUUUUCUUCCUAGAAAAAUGUGCAAUCAGGGGCACUGUCUUAAUCUGUGCCCAGUGUGAAGAUUUCUCUUCACUACUGUUCUUCAGGGAAGUCCUGGAAAUGUGAUAGCUGUCCACUUUCAAGUGGUAGCUUCAUAACAUGCAGAGCCAUUUGUAAACCAGGACCUAGUCUUCUCUUCCUGUGCCAAUUGAUCAUGUGAUAUUCCCCAUGAGGCCGUAGGUAUAUGCUGGACAACAAAAGGCAGUAUAGCAGGAGUAGGAACCAUGGGUUUUUGGGCAACUUCUUCAUGUAAGUUACUUGUACUUUUCAAAACUGUUCAGGGUUGAUUGUGUAUUUACUACUUCCAUUUCAUGGUGGACUGUUGCUGUGCAUGUUUAAGUUUAUGACUUGGAGGGUCAGAUAGUACUAUUUCAUGAUGGGCAGCUCAAGUUGCAUGGUAACCUGGUGUCCUAUGGUCAAGCUUUCAGUUUCCACUAAGGCCUAGUACCAGGCGAGGAGCUGGUUUUCAGCAAGAGUACUUGUCUGCAGAUAAUUGCAGAGCCAUGCUCCAAAAUCCUGAAGUUUGCCACUGUGAUUCACCUAUGGGAGCCUUCCAGAGGCUCCAAAUAGCAUCACUGUUUGCCACCAACAUGUUAAGUACCAUUGGAUUAUGAGUCAGUCAGUAAAUGGGCCAGAAUAACACAGAUGAUUAGCAGAAUUAAAGGGUGUAACACACAGAAAAAGUCCCUUGAAUUUUAACAGUCAAGAAGAGUAUCUCUAGACAUUGAGAAAAACCAUACAGGGAGAAAUGUUAGGGAAAAGAAGGACACAUUUAUUAAAUAUCAACUCAAUGGAGCACUUGGCUCGUUUGUUUGUUUUAAGGUCUUGCCAUUGUUUAAAUGGCUAGCUCUACCCUCUCUCUUUUUUUUUUUUGAGAUUGUUUUGUAUUCUGCAACAUCUAUUCUUCUUUUUUUUUCUUUAUUAAAUUCUUUUAUUGGUACACUGUAGGUAUACAACACAAUUACAUUUCUCAUUGGGAAUUGUACCUUUACAUAAUGCAUCUUGGUUCUUAUUUUUCCCCAUUGCUAGCCCUCCCUUCACCCCCUCCUCCCUUCCCUAUUUACAAAGACUUUAGUUCCAUUUUUUCCAUUUCUCAGCAUUUUUCCUUUCCCUUCUUUCCUUUCCCCUGCCCCUCCCACUACCCCUACCCCUUUGGACCUUUGCUUCCUAUUUUGCAUUAUUGAUUAUUCAUUCUAAUCAUUGGUACAUUUUAGGUAUACAAUAGAAUGACAUUCAUCAUUGGAAGUUUGCACCUUUCCAUUGAAAGUCUACCCUCUCUCUUAAGACUUAAGAUUGCAUGUCACUAAGGGGAACAAUUCACAUCUUUGUAAGGAGCAUGGAAAACUCGGUCCUGGGGAUAUACCCACCUUUUCUGGAAUUUUGCAGAGCACUUUCCAUCACUUGUGAUGACCCACUGCUUCUUGCGCCUACAUUCUUACCCAUGUGAAUUCCAUUCUCACCUACUCAAGUCCCAUUUGUCUCUGCCCUCUGACUUUUUUUUGGGGGGGGGGUACCAGGGAUCCAACUCAGGCCCUUGCACUUGUGAGGCAGGUGGUGGCACCACGGAGCCAAAUCCCUGGCCCUGCCCUCUGGCUUCUGAUAAGAGAGCUCCCUGUCUACCGUUUUAUUCAUUUGGAACAGAGUUCUUUGGCUUUACUCACCUUUCCUUUUGCUGCAAGCUUAGCCCCAUGGCUAACAGGCCCCUUCCUGUUUCUGUCUGAAAUAGGGAGCAGUCAGGGCUCUCACCAGGGGAGACCACUCAGAUAUAGCCUUAUAGACACAACUGUGUUGAACCUUCAGAGUUUUGGGUAGUGUGCUCUAGAUAGAAGUUAAGUACCAUUCAAAUGAAAAAAGUGAACUGUUGGGGUUGACAUGUAAUUUUGUGGAUCAAGUCAUGCUGAACCUCCUUCAUUUGUUCCCUCUCUGGAUGCACUCAGGCAGAUCUCACCAGAUAAAGGAGGAGACCAAGUCAGACAACAAGGAAAUUAUCCACAUCAAACCCUCUGUUGCGAGUUCAAAAUGGUUGGAUGCAGUGCUUUUCUUAUAGCAGAAGUACUAUGGGGGAGGGGAGUUGCAUGCCUGCAUUGGUGUUUUAUAGCAACUACAUGUGGCCCAGAACUUUGGGAUAUUCCUGUCCUGUCUGCAUUCCAGCCGUGUCAAGAUCUUGCUUCUGUUUUUCAUGAAAAGAGCUCUGUGCUGUUUACAUGAGCUGCAGCUUGACCCGCAGCUGUACAACUUUCUUCUUCUAUUGUCUCAGGUCAAGAUGAAUUACAGACAGAGCCUUGACCAUAAAUAUUUAAUGAUUUUUAUCUUCAAAGCAUUGUGCAAGCACACUUAGUCUUAUUUUGAAGUGCUGAGUAGGCAUCUCCGAUCUUCUUUUAUGACAUAGUUUCUUUUUUAAAUGCUAGUCGCACCCUUUAUUCUGAAUCCUUAAUACAAGGCUGAGUUGUCUUUUUAUAAUAGCUUUAUUAAGAUAUAACUCAUAUAAUCAUAAAAUUUACCCUUUUAAAAUGUAGUGCUCAGUGGUUUUUAGUAUUUUUGGAGUUGUGCAACCAUUGCCACUCUCUGAUCUUAGAAUACUGUCUUCAUCACUCUGAAACGAAAUUGAUUUUCAGUAACUCUCCAUUCUGCCUCCCUCACCCUAUCUGACCUAAAGUACCUGUGGCAGACACUAAUCUAUUUUCUGUCUUUAUACCUAUUCUGAACAGUCUCACAUGUUUCUACUUGCCUUCUUUCUCUGCUACCUGCCUCCAUGAGAAGAGCAUCCCAGGGAUUGUCCACUUAUCCCAGAAGGUGAAUGAAAGACACUUGGAAAUGGAACAGAACUUUUCACCUCAGACAAGAGCAACUGCUUCGCAAAUUACUCAGAGUAGCUUGAACUAAAUAAAUCCUUGCUGUUACAUUCCACUGAGCUCUUGUGACCAUUUGUUAUGCAGUGAUAGCUUACUAAUACAAUGGCCAUUGUUAGCAACUCAGUUUUCCAUCUUAUGUUUUCACCAUCCAAGAGAGAUGGGGACAACUAGUGUCUGGUUCCAGCUAAGGGCUCUGAUUGACCCAUCCCUAAUUAUAAGUUAACAGGUUAGCCUGGCAUAGUUUCAUGGAAGUAAGCCAACAAAAUGUGGCCAUGAAGUGACAUGGAAGUGAAGACAUUAUUGUCACUGUUAUGUGAAGGAGUGGGGACAAUUGCUGAGAAAGGAAGGGGUGCUGGACACAUAGAACAUGCAGUCAUGACCUAGGAGGGACAAUGAGGUGCUACCCAAGCAGAGUGCAACUAUGUUCUUGGCACGUUUUACUUAUGUCUGUUCAGUCAUCAGGGAGAGAGCGAGCGAGCGAGAGAGAGAGAGAGAGAGAGGACCGAAUAAUGGUAAUUUUUCCUGGGAUGAAAGUGAAGUGUGUGUGUGUGUGUGUGUGUGUGUGUGUGGCUAUUGGAGAUAAGAAUCUCUGGUUAAAGGGUGGGCAUGGUGGCUCACACGAAUGAUCCCAGCACUGGGGAGGCUGAGGCAGGAGGAUCGCUGCGAGUUUGAGGCCAGCCUGGGCUACACAGUGAGUUCUAGGCCAGCCUGGACUACAUAGUGUGACCCUGUCUCAAAAAACCAAAACCAAAACAAACGAACAACAACAAAUAUCUGCUGUUAACUCGGCCUAAAUUCCAAGUCAUCACUCAAAAGGUUUAAGUCAUUUGCUAUACUGAAUGUGAUUCUAUGUAUUUUUGAACAGCUGUUUAUUUUAAACUAUAUAUAAUAGUAUACAUUGUAUAAUUACUCAUACUUCUUCCUGUAUAAUAUUGCAUUACAAAACCAUAUGUACUAUACUUAAUGGGAAGUUUAAGGAAUUUUCAAGUGCAACUGUCCAUUUCCAUACCUGCAUUAAGAAGCUUUUUCUCAGAAAUUACAUGUGUCUCAGAAGGGUGGAAGACAGGACCUGAGUGAGCAAAUAUUGCUUUUUAUCAUUUGGUGAAACAAAGGCUUAAAGUAGAAAUUAAGUAGAGUUUUGGAAAAAUAUUUUUUAAAUUCAAAUGAGUUUGUGAGUUGAGAUUCACACUACAACUCUACCCUUGUUAGUCUCACAUGUUAUUAUAGAAAAUGCAGUUGAGGUAGAAAGGAAUAUUAGAUGGUAGUGACAAAGAAUGAAUUAGUGCUACACGGAACAGCAGAUGAAUCUUACAAAUAUAAUGUUGAAUGAAAAAGAUUCAUAAGAGCGUUUAGUAUAUGAUCCUGUUUAUAUUAGGUUUCACACCAGGAAAAACUAAUCAAUAAUGUUAGAAAUGUUAGAAUGAGAUAAGGAAACAGAACUUGGGCACUGGCAGGAUACCUGAGACAGUUUUGCAUCCUGGAUUCUCUUCCAGCUGAUUGAGGUCCAUGGGAGACAAGGAUGGAGGUGUCAAAUCAUCCAGAGCAGAACCUGUGUGCCAGUCCCUGGAGACGGUCUAGAAAUUCAGGGGCACUUGGGGACUUGCACACAUCAGAAGAAAUAUCUGAGUAGGUGAGUGUGAGGUAUUGCCACUAAACCCUCUGUGCUGUUCACAGCUGGGUAGGAGCAUCAGAGUAUUCUGGCACAGGUAGCGGUGGCAUGGAUAUGGUCCAGAAGGUUGGCAGCCUUGAAAUGUUUUUGUUUUCUGGGCAAGGAUGGCCCAGCACUGCCCUGCUAGACUCAGUCAUAUUGUGCAGAUGGUGGAUCAGUUGGCCCUGACAAGAUGGCACUUUUAGCCAUCACAGAAUUUUCUGGAGAAGCCAGCUCUUCAUCCUUUCUUUUAGACUUUAAAAUCUUCAUAAAAAUGCUAUGGACCUACAGAGAGUAGUAUAUUUGAGCUCAGGAUUCUAGCAGAAUCAUGGACUUGAAAACAGUCAUGAUUUCUUGCCAUGGAUUACUUCUGCUUCUCCCUGUGUCCUUUCUCUUUGGUAAUGACUGGUUUUUCUCUCCUUCUUAGUCUACAUAGAGGAACAUGCUACCAGCUGGACCAAAGUUUUAAAUGUGAAAAUGCAAAUCCAGGAAAAGAGAUCUAUCCCUCUUCCGAAGCCCAAAGUGAACAUUUUCAAGGGGAUAAGAUUGAUUAGCCUACACUGGGAUGGUGCUCUCUGAAUCGAUAGCUUGUAGCUAGAAGAACAGGAUAAUACUGUACAAACUAUGUGGCUUGAUUUUUUUGACAAGGGGAAGGCAAGAUCUACAAAAGUAGGACAAGUGGUGGGACCAACAAUGUGAGUUCAGGGUGGUCAGUCCUCUUUGGCUUCUUUUCAUGGCUGCUGAGAAAGAAGAUGGAACAGGUUCCCUGAGCCCUCAUCCAAGGAAGUAAGAAUUGAUUACUAGCUUAGCCAUUACUUUACCUUGCUUGCAGACAUGUCCUCCUUUGAACUCUCUUUGUUUUUCUUUAUCUAUCUCCAGCCUGUAGACAAAGAAGCUCUGCUGAGGCUCCCAAGUGAAAGGUGCUGUCCCAUUUUACAAAAGCCUUAGGACCAGUCCUCAGAACACUUUGGUCCUUUGCCAUCCGAGAGCAAGUACACGGAGGUGUCUUGAGGCGUUAAGCGCCAGCUUGCAGAGAUAGUGAGGUAUAUUUUAGAACCCAAACUGCUGUCAGGGAACAUAUGGAUUUUGUUAUUUCCAUCCUAGCAGCUUUCUCUCCAUGGGUUUUGACAUAUGAAUUUCAAAAGGAGGGAGUGUUUUCCUGAUUGACACCUCAGAAAUACUCUUUGUGGCAAAAUCACAAAUAUUUCCAGAUCUUGCUGGGCAUGGAGAUGGCUGAGCUGCUGGAGACAUUCUAUCAGUGUCACUUGACACAGCGUGUGAGGUCAGGCAGGGGUGAACACUGUUGGCUGGACACAAAGGUUGAGCAUUAUCUGCUCUGUGGGGGGACACAUCACACUCAGCCAGCUCAGGAGGGAGACUGACACAUGUGGGUCAUUGCACGGAGUCUUUUCUCCCUGGCAGAGCAAAGCAGGCCUGACAUUCCCGGAAGAAAAUGACACUGAAAGCAGUCAGACAAAGGCCAGGCAAGCAUUACCAAGGCUUUCUGGAAAAAGCUUUCUUCGUGGACUCACGCCAAUCAUUACUUUACUUACCUUAACUAAUUCAUUUCUUGUUUUUGUUCCUUAAUAAAAGAAAGGCAACUGUCAUUUAUUGAAUUUUUUGUGGGCUAGGAUUGGUAGUGUGCAAGAAAUGGCUUGGCCAAGCUCAGGAGAACCAACUGAACAAUUUCCAGGAAUCCUGCAAGAUAACUGUUAAACACAAGCCAUUAUUAAAAAUUAAAUUAUACUAACAUAUAAUUAAACUGUGUUAGAACAGAGGUAAUAAAUACUCAAAACUCAUCACAUUCUAAUUAUUUUACUACAUUGUACUGUUGUGCUCAUGAACUUAUUUGUAUCUACUGCAUCUGUAUGUUGGAAAUACUGUAAAAUAACUUGCUACUGUGCAUCUCUGUGAAAAUUGGCCGUAGUGGGAGGAACUAGCAAAUGUUACAAAUCUGGGCCGGUUUUAAAAAUUGUUUUCAUCCUUCAAGAUAAUGACAACAGUGGAGAAAAUGUUAAUAAUACAGAUUAAAUUAAAAAUGUAUGUUUGUAGCUGAUACACUAUCAGCUACAAAAAUUUUGGAAAAUAGUAUUUGAAACUCAUUCCUUGAUUUGGUAAAGAAGUUGUAGUUGUUCAUGUCAUUGACCCAUGACCGAAAUUCUGACAUUUUCAUCUCAUUUUUAUCUUUUGAAUGUUAACAAAAAUAUCAAACAACAUAUCUGUGUCACAGCUAUACUCAUUUGUCAGUUGCAGCCAUAGGUUGGCUGUGGAUGCAACAGUUCAACAAUUCCUUGAAAGCAUUUUGUGAGAAUUAACUGGCUAAAUGAAAUUUACAAUAAUGAAUAUAGUAUAUCUCAUUAUUAGUAGUGAAUUAUGCGUGACAUAUCUUUUUAUCAGUAGAAUUUCCAUAAACAUUUAUGAAUACUCACACAUUUUUGAGGAGGGGUAAUUAUUAGCUAUUGUUACCUUUGCUAUGAAUAUACUUCCCUCUUUACCUUGUCUUCCAAGACCCAAUUCAAAGUCUGAUCUACCCCUUCUUUCUGGUCCUAUGUUGCAGCCCUUGUUACCAGUGCAUUAGGGUUUGGGAAGUUCCCUGUACUUUCUAGAAUAAGUAGAGUGGAAGAGCAGGAACCUUGAAUAUUCAGCUCUGAACAAGUUAGAGCUGUGCUCAAUGCUUGAUACCUAGGAGUUGUCCACAAGGUGUGGGUUGAAAGAGAGAGCAAGAACCCUGGGCAGAAGUGGGGAGAAAGAGAAAAGAAAGUGGUCAUGUACGUAGAAAAGGGGCAGUGGGCAGUACUGCUACCUGCCAUGUAGGUUGACAUACUCAGGUGUGUUUGCUCACUGCUGACCAAAUCAAAGGAGGCCAUUUAUUUUGGUAAAAAAGAAAAAGGAUUUAUUCAAAGCUAGCUCUAAGGAAAUGGAGGUGCCCUUUUGCCUCCAACCCCAAGCUCACUGUGUACAGGUGUGAAGGGACAGGGAGAGGGAACACAGAGAUAAUGCACAUCUUCACCCUUGCUUUGUGGCUUCAGGCAUCUUCAGCUCCUUCUCUACUUUCUUGUAGAAAGGAAACUGGGCCCUGGCCUCCAUGGGGCUGGUAUCUGCAAUUUUGUCACUUUUGGGGGGCAGACGAGAGAAGGGCGUGUUGGUUAUGUGCUCAGUAGGAGAUGUGUGGAGAAAUGUAGAGAAGUUGCUUAUCUCUAAAAUUAAAAAAUUAUAAUUUAAAGUUCCAUUUUGUGGUGCCAGUUACAAUAGUAUAGAGCACAUUUUGAUAUUUAAGUUUACUUAGGGUUCCUGCAGUCUGUAUCGAAUGCAGCAAGUUUUGGCUGAUCAAACCACAACACUGAUAAACUGGAUUUGUUUGGAAAUGACCUAGACUUUACAAGAGCAAGACAAGUCACCAGCUAAUCAUAUCACUUAAGGUACUUGACAUGAUCCUGGCUGAGCUCAGCUCAGUGAUUAAAUCCUUCCAGACAGUUUUUUCUUUUUAAGCAACAGUCACUGAACACCUAUUUGAAUGUGGUAGGCACUAGAUUUUCCACAUGUCCUAUGUAAGAGACAACAUCAGAAGCCCAUGAGAACCUGCUUUCCUCCGAGGAACUUGUCCUGUUGUAUAUCCUGGCUGCAAAGCCCCUCCUCACACCCCUGUGGAGGGGCUUGGGUGCCAGUCCUCCUAUUCAAGAAGUGUUUUCAGUCUUCUCAUCCCAGCCAUUAUUGAGUAGCUGGCUGAGUUUCCUGUCCAAGAAGGACACAAUUACCUGCCUCCCACAAUAUACAUCCAGCCAGGAUCAGCUUACUCGUGGCCAGCCAGCCACUCCCCUAAGAGGAGCAGUUGCCGAUAAGCUUGGAAAAAAACAAGUCUCCCUUUAUCUCCUAUUACCUCCAUCACAUUGGUCGUAAAUAAGGUCAGCCGGGAUCUGUCUAGCCUCCAGCCAUGGCCCAGUGUAAAGUAGAUAUGUCAAAGAAAAUGGGAAAAAUCUUUUACACUCCUUCCAUACUUUCUCUCAAGUCACUCAAAGAGCCAAAUGAAAUAGGGUGUGGGUCUUCAUUUCCCAUCGUGCAGUGGAUCCUCCUUUUGUCUUUGUCCUCUGCUAGUUUAUUCUUAAUUCAGAGGCCAGAAGGUUCUAGUUAAAAGGCACACCAGACUAUGUCAAGCCUUUACUCAGAACCUCCAAUAGCUCCAACUGCAAUCAGAAGCUGUGACUGAAGACUCUUGUAUCCCAACCCCUUGUGAAUCUGAUUUCCUACUGGUUCCUUCUCCUCAGCAGCCUCAAUAAUCUUGUUCCUUGAGCUCAUCACCCCACCCUCACCCCCACCCAGAGCCUUUACUUUCCUUGUUCCUUCUGCCUGGGACAUUCAUCUCCCAGCUAGCCACAAGGCUUCCUCCCUCACUUCCUUUACUCUGUGUGAACCUCACCUUGUCAGUGAAGUCUACUAUGAUGUGCACAGAAGACCUUACCUUUCCCUCUGCUGCUGGUCCUCAUCGCCCUGUUCUAUCAUUCCCAUGGGAUUUACCAUCUUCUAGCAUAACAUAAUUUAUAUAUUGAAUCUGUUUAUAGGUUUUCUCUCCCCAGUAUAAAUGUAAGCUUUAAGAAGCCAUAGAGGGGCCAGGGAUUUAGCUCAGUGGUUCCGGUGCCUGCCUCGCAAGCACAAGGUCCCAAGUUCAAUCCCCAGGACCAAAAAAAAAAAAAAAAAAAGAAGGCAUAGAUUACGUCCUUUUAGUUUGCUGAUGCAUCUCAAAAAUGUCUAAAACACGAUAGAUAAUAGAAGCUCAAUAAAUAUUUGUCAUAUGAUGUAUACUUCUUAAAUUGAGGAAUCUAGGGGCACCUCAAAGUUAAUGAACAUUGUGGAGGCAUCUGGGACUAAAAAUCAGUUUCCUCCAUGCUAGAACCCACAUCCAUCAUCUAAUCCUCAUUUCCUUUUUAUCAACAACAGCACUUAGGGGAAAAUACCAGAGAGUUCCCUAUGGAGCUGAGUAGAUAGAUUUUUUUUUAAUAUUUAUUUGUUCAUCAAGGUCAAGGAUGCCAUAUGAAAACUCUGUAAGUAUUUUUUUCACAUUAAUACAUUUUCCUGAAAAUGUCCGUGAAUUUGGAUGAUUUUAUAUUCAUAUGCCAAUACUUGAAGAAUAAAUCUCAAACAAGGAGUCUUUGUUGUUAGUAGUGGUGUCUGUGGAGGUGGAGACAGGGAGGUGCAGUUGCGGAGGAGAAAUAUAGAAACAUUAGUUUAAUCAUGUGGGCUACUCUGUUAAUAAAGCUAGUGCCUCCUUUAUGACAAGGAGCUCUGGAAAACCAAAUAGAAAAUUGCUUUCCUUUAAAGAGAUCUACUGAGUCAUCGUCUGAAUCCCCUCUCUGCUACUUCUCACUUGGACUGCUGGUGAUUUUACUCCUAAUUUAUCUAAAGGGAGCUUAUGAAUCAUCAUCAAGAUUAAUUUCCAUUAGCUCCUCUAUCACUAAACACCGAAGUAACCUGUUGUAGUUAUCUAUUGCUGGAUAAUAAAUUACCCCAAAAUUUAGUACGUUAAAACAGCAACCAUUUCAUUUGCUUACAACUCUGUGCUUCUGUAAUUUAGAGUUCAGCUGGGUGGUCUUCCUGUUCCAGGCAAUGCUCACUGUGAUCACUCAUUGGCUGUAUGCAUCUGGUGGCUGGGACCAGCUGUAAGUUGGCUUGUUCACAUCUCUGGUGCCUUAGUUCUCCCCUAUGUGGCUUCUCUUUCUCCAGGCACUUGGGCUUCCUCAAAGUAUGGUGGUUUGAAGACUCAGCAUUGCAAGUUCCACAUCACUGACCUUUUUAUCAUAUUCUCUUGGUCAAAAUAGAACAAAGAACCCAUUGUAUUCAAAGAGAGUAGACUGUCUUUGGGAGGCAUGACAAAGAAUUUGUGACUGUGUUUAAUCCAUUAUACAACCAAGUACAGGUAGUCAGUCCUCAUUUUCCAUCAUACUUUAGCUCAUCUCUCUCUUAAUAGAAGAGGUAAAUGAGAAAUUAAAAAAAGAUGUAUCAAGAGCUGUGAGCAUAUAAGCACCCAAAAUACGCAUCUCCAUUAUUUAUGAAUGCUCUCGCCUUGGCCAAACACUUUAGUAAUUUUUCUGUCACCAAGUCUGUCCCUGAACAUGUUCUACUUCUAUUUAGAACCAGUCUGUCCUCAGAAGUGGCUCCUCAAAUCCUAGAUCCUAAACACCAUGGAGCUCUUACAACCAAACCUUCCCUAUCCCCACUGCUCAUACUUUUCCUGGGACCUAGGAGACUUGGGACAUCUAUUGGUUUCUUAAUUUUAUAUUUUAAAAAUGUUAUUAACAUGUGAAGUGUCUUUAAAUUUUAUAGUAUUGUAAAUCCAAAGGAGAAAAUCUGGCUCCCGCUGACUAGCUCCUACUGACUUAAUUUUGACAUUGAAAUUAUUUCCACAGGAAACUGAUGAAUCUGCCAAGUUGUAAAGCAAGCAGCAGUCCAUUGUAAGAUGAAAGUGAGGCACCGGGGACUCAACCAACACUCAAAGACUAGUGGGCAUGUUUAGGUUGAGCAAGCAGGGAGCUCAGAUCCCUCAUGGCAUCCACCACAGUUACCAGCACAUCUCCCUCAGCAGACAUAAGGCCAUUGGAAGGAGAAGAAAAAAAAAUGGUUUAGGUAAGUUUACAUUUGGCUUGGAUCAGUGUGAGAAUACAGCCUGAAAAUGAAAAACCACCAUAUAACAACCACACUCAAGAGUGACUUUGAAAGAAAAUGGGGAAAAAAAGAGAAUGAAAAUCUUAUCACUGAGUGGAGCUAUAAUUAGAGCAUCUGGCCACUAAUGUUAUGGAAAGACAAGUGGUCCAAGCUGAGUAUGACUUAAUGGAUUGGUUCGAGGUCUAGAAGGAAAAUGACUGGAAAAUUGGAGACAAAGAGGUCUGGGGUGGAGCCACGUGGCCAGACCUACAGGAGUGGGCAUGAAGUAUGCGCAUGUUAAUGUGACAUGUUAAUGUCCACUGGAAAGCAUCCACUACAGAAGUGACAUUGGACAAUUUACAUUAGCUAGCCUUCAUCAUUAGUUCCCUCAGAACAGGCUUGAUGGACUGUCAAAAGAAAUGGCCAUACUGGUGAAAAAGAGCUUCCAUAUGGACCCAAAUGCAAAGACUUCCACUGAAGAAGACUGAUGCAGAUAUCGCCUUCUCUGAAUGUCCAAACUGCUGACAACAAGGACCAAUCCUGAGCCCCAGUAUGCUUCCUUGACAAUUUGUCCUCAUAUCAAUAGACACCUAUUCUGAGUGUGAGUCUGCCUUUCAUGUCUGCAGAGCUUUAUGUAGCAACAUUAUCCAGUGGUUUAUGUGGAAACUGACUCACAGCGCAGGCAUCAGGAAUUUAGGGUUCAGAGCCACUCUGGCCCACACCUGGAGAGUUUCCUUCCUCCUGGGAUUCCCAGGGAAAAGCAUGGCUUUCUCUAGACUCUCAGGUGUAAGUCCUUCCUUUCUGCUUUAGAGGCUCCACAUUAGGAAGAUCAGGAUCAGAGCCUCACUCAAACACUCACCCACGCCUAACAUUCUUACUCUCUCCAGUCUUUCUCCUUCCUGCCUUAUCCACUUAUCUCUUCAAGUCUGAAAAUUACUUUAACAUUGUAUCUGUGUCUUCUCAAGUCUAUGGUUCAAAGUAUAAAUCCUGUGGUUUGCUAGUCCUCUAAUAUUGGCUUUAGAUAUUUAAACCCUAGUUUCUGGAACUCUCAUCAAACUAACUUCCUUCCUUUCACUUCUCCUCAUUGUCUUCCUCCCUCUUGUCUUCUACCUUUGAGUUCUAAAAUCUCAAAAAAGCCUGGUCCUUGCAAUAAGAAAACACUGUCUAUUGUGUGUUAAAAAUUCCAUUCAGCAAACCAGUUGACUUAUUUGAACCAGGAUAUAUAAAAAUUUUUUUGAACUUCAGACAUAUAUCACAGUCUCUUCCCAGCUGAGAAUUUAUCCUGUUCUAGGCCCAUGAAACAUUUCCUAAGGGUGAUCAGUUAUUAAGCCAUAAUAAAAAGUUUAAUACAUUCCAUCAUUCAGGCCACAAUCUUCGAUCACUAUGCAGAGAGAUUUAACAUUAAUGCCAAAACUUAAAAGAAUAAAAUCCCACCACACUCUUACAUAGCUUUUGGAUCAAAGAGAAAUCAAAAGAGUGAUUGCAGGUUAUUUAUAAAACAAUGAUAAGAAUACUACAUAAGUGAGGUGGCCAAGAUUGUGCAUAGGAACAAUUAGUUUUAGAGGCUUUUGUAAUUAAACAAAGAAAAGAAUACAAAUAAACUGUUCAAGUAGAAGUUAAAAACAGAGCCAACAAAUACGACUAUGGCAAAUAAAAGAGGAAAUUGAUAAAGACUAAAGUAGAAAUUAGCAGUUAGAAGAAAGCCAGUAAAUUUGAUAGAUAAAUAAAUAAAAUGGUUCUUUAAAGUAUUAGAUAAAAAAGAAAAACUUUUUCCAAAGCCAAUCAAGAAAAACAAGGGGAAAAACCAAGCAAUUGGAGUGAGGACAGAUAUAUAACCACAGCUAGCAGAGAGAUUUAUGUUUUAUUAUGUAGAUUAUUAUGCUGAACUCUACUAAAACUUAUGAAGUCUGGGAAAAUGAAUGAUUUUCCAAUAAAAUAAAUUAUCAAAAUUUGUUAAGGAAUAAAAUGUAAAUAUACUCAUGAUCAUAAAAGAAAUUUUAAGAGUUUUCGGAGCUCUCCAAAAAUAUGCAUAGCUUUUACAAGCCAGAUCCAAUAGAACUUCACUGAGCAUAUAAUUGUCAUAGAAUUUAAACUGUUGCAGAAUUUCACUUCAUUUUACUAAAUUAGCAUAGUCUUGAUCUCUAAAUGUGUAGCAAGAAUCUACUAUAAUCUCAGAUGUGAAUAUAUUUCACGAAUUUUAAGUAAAGUAUUAGCAAAACAAAUCAAUAGUAUAACAAAAGAAUAAUGUGGCCUGGGAUUUAGCUCAGUGGUUUCGGUGCCUGCCUCGCAAGCGCAGGGUCCCGAGUUCAAUCCCUGGUACCCCCCCCCCCCCAAGGAAAGAAAACAAAAGAAUAAUGUAAUAUGAGUAAAGUUUUUCUGAGAAUGGAGGCAUAGUUCAAUAAUGGAAAAUCUCAGACAUUAGUGGAAAAUAAAUUGAUGCAGCCUUUUAGGGAGGGCAGUUUGAUUAAAUUCUAUCAAAUUUAGGAAUGCAUUGAAUCUGUGCCUUAGUCCCCUUAUAGUUACCUGUACUUAAAGAAAUAUGGGUACAAGAUGUUUGCACAAGAACCCUCUUUUUUUCUUGAUAGUGAGACAGAGAGAGAGACAGACAGACAGAGAGACAGAGACAGAGAGAGGAAACAACUUAAAUAUCCAUUAAUAAGAGAAUGACUAAGUCACAGUGUUACACUAAAAAGUACAAGGUAGUAUUUUAAAAGAAUGGGUUACUCUGUACCAAAACAGAAAAAUCUCUGCUACAUUAAGUAAACAAGACAACAAAACCAAACCAUUACUGGAGACCUCUCAGUAGGUUCCAGUCUCCUGCCCAGUAUACGAUGCAGAGCUGAAGAAAGACUCAAAAACAGAAUUAAAGAAAAAAGUGGGGAGCCAGGAUGGCCAGUGCUGAGCAACCAGGAAGGCCAUGGUCACUGAUUUUUAUUGGUAAUCAAAUUGGGAUAAAGGGUAACUAUGUGCUAAGAUGUGCAGUUGUGCAGUUGCUAUGAAUACUAAUGCAGGUAAGGCUUGUAAAGGAAAAGAUAAAGCAUUCUUGAAGUAAGAUCAGAACAGAGAAAAUAUAGGGUUGUAAUUAGUACCUUGUCCUUCUAGUUAAGAAGGUUUUAGUUGUGAGAAUGGAAUUUGGGUGCGAGUUACUUUGACCUCAGCUACUAUAUUAUCUCAUAUUGAGCCCCAUAGCUUCACAGAACAUUUCUCUGGUCUCUGCUGGGGCCGUUAGUGGGAAGGUCAUGCUAACCUGUGCGCUACUGCAGUGCUUAGGAGGUGCUUCUAUGAGUCACAUAAGCUUCAGACUCUCUUCUUAAAAUGGGCCAAUUGAGGGGUUAACUCUUUAUAGCCUGCACUGCUUACAGCCCACUUUGGGCAUAAUCAGUAGGGUGGCUCCCUACAAACCCCAAAUAUAUGAACUAAAUAAUAUUAUAUAAUGAUCCUAUUAAUGUAAAAAAAACUGUAGAGCCACAAAUGUGUGCACUUACCUGAGUAUGUAUAAAUGAAGAUAGCUCUAUCUAUAGAAGAUAACUCAAGAGGUGAGGAUGGGGUUGAUGACAUGGUACUGGGUGGCAAAGAGAUGUCAUUUUUUUUCCAUAUAGGUCCUGCAUUGUUUCACAUUUUCACAAUGAAGCUAUGCUCAGGGGUCACUUGUGUAACUAAAAUAGUAAAGAGUCAAAUAACACAUUUUGUAAUAAUUCAUUCCAUCAAUAAUCAAAAGAGGAAAAAAUCCUUAUACUUGAUGGUUUCCAGAAAAGCUUCUACCUCCUGCUAAUUCUUUUUAAAACUAAUUUUUUUUGGGGGUACCAGGGUUCGAACUCAGAACCUUGUGCUUGCGAGGCAGGCAGUGGAACCACUGAGCUAAAUCCCCAGCCCCUUAAAACUAAUCUUAAGAAAGAAAAAAGAAACUUUUAAAGUAAGAUCAAGAAUAUCAAGACAAUGAUUAUCAUCAUACUUAACAGUGGAGGGUUAAAGUAGUACCUAAUAAAGUUGGGCAGAUGGACUGGGAGGUCAGUAAUAUAAUUAUUGAACACUUAACAAUUUUGGUCAAUUCAAUUCCAUAGGAAAAGAAGAAACAGUAACCUUGAGAGAGGAAAGGAGUGUGGUGGGGGGAGAGAGAGAGUAUUAAUGUGUUAAGAAGGAAUAUAAAAUUGUUACUGUUUACAGGUAUGAUAAUCUCCAGGGAAAACCCAAGAGGUUCAACAAUAAAAGAGCACUUGCAUACGCCAAGGGCUUCCUGGCUGCCAGCCCUCUGCUCAGUCUUCAUAGACACAGUCUCAUUUAAUUCCCAAGAACCCUACGAUGCACAUUUAUCGUUUCUGUUCAACAGACAAGGAAAACUAUGUGCCUCAAAGGUUUAGGAGGCAGUGAGUGGUGAAGCAGCUGAGCCCAGAUUUAACCUGAGCUCUGAAUCUGGAGCUGGUUGAGAUCCUGCAGCCUGAAUGCACACUGUUUAAAAGCCACAGGGUAUCUUUUAAUAAGAAGACAACUAUAAUAGAGAAAAAGAUAUAAUAAUAAACACUUUAAAGUGGUGGUGUUUAUAUAGAAUAUCAAAAGCUAAUUUGGAAAUAUCAGGAAAAAUUACGUUCUAUGUGCCAUGGCGACCAGAAUUAUGUUAACAGCACACUUAAAAAUACCAGUAAAAGAAAACUUCAAAACUUUACCGAGAGACAAAGAAAAAACUUGAAUACACAGAGACAUGCUCAUCUGUAACUUGCAAGUCAAUAUUGAAUAUAUUUCAGUUGUACUCAAACCAACCCACAAAUAUAAAUUCUUAACAAAUUAGCAGUUUUGUCAGAACCUGACCAAACUACUCUUUUAAGAAAAAUGUUUAAUUUCAAGAGCUCAUUGUAUUAAACAAAUCAGAAAUACGUCACAUAAAACAUUUCCUCCAGAAGUAAACACUGUAAACAUUGUUAUUUGAAGCCCCCCUCAGAAUCCUGCUCUUUUAGCAUAAUAAAGACAAAUGACAUGCAGAGAAUGGCUUAGAGUAGGUCAUGAGGGCAUAUUACUAAGUUUUUAGGAAUUUUGUGAACUGGUUGAUAAACAUAGGCAAUAUGAAGAUCAUAUUAUAUAAACUAACAAUAAGUUAUUUAAAAAGCGUAAGUAAAACAUUUUUAAAGUUCAUUUCUUUCGAAUUAUUUUAUUAAAUGAUGUUAGCUAUGUGUGCUUCUAAGGUACUUUACAUGUAUUUUGUCUGAAUGAUGGACAUGCUAAACAGUGGUCUGCUGUUGUUCUCCUCCCAAUUCUGUGAGCAGUGACAUCAUGUUAGCAGGUUGCAACUGACUAUGGUGGGGAUACUUUGACCAUGGAGGGUGGCUGUGUUUGUCAGCUUUCUGUUACUAUAACAAAUGGCUAGAAUAAUCAAUUUCAAAAGAGAAAGGUUUAUUCGGCUUAUAGCUUUGGAAGUUUCACCCCAGGAUCAGAUGGCCCUGUUGCUUUUAGGCCUGUGAUGGCACAUCGUGGGGGGAUCCUGAGGUGGAGAAAAAACACCCAUGCAUGCCUGGAAGGCAGGAAAGAUCAGGAUCCCACCAUCCCCUUCAAGGGCACACCCCCACUGACCUGAAGACCUUCUCUCAGAACCCACUCCUUGGAGUUUCCACCGCCUCCCAGCAGCACCAAGCAGAGGCCCAAGCCUUUAACGCAUGGGCCUGUGGGGGCCACUCCAGAUCCAAACUGUAGCACUGACAAAUGCUACUGACCACAGUCUUUUCAGAGCUGGUUAUUAAACAUUGAACUCAGUAGCAGGAGUCAUAUGUAUUUUAUCUGUGUGUGUAUGCACGUGGUUCAAUAAAAGAGGGGAAAAAAUCAUAUCUCACCUCCCUACUUAAAAGUAGAAUAAAUGAGGAUGACAAAUACAACUUGUUUCAUAAUCAGUACUAAUGAGGUAGAAAAGGAUUCCUUGCGGCAAAGAACUUAAAAGAGUUAUCACACUUAAACAUGUCAUGAAUUUUUCUUUUAUAAAAGACAGUGUUUUCAAUCUACUAAUCUUUUCCAGGAUGAAAGUAGGGUCAGUAAAAUGCACUUCAAAUUAUUUGGAAAAAACAGAUAUGCUUGUCUUUUCAAGGCACAAAUUACAUUGUAACAAAGAGUGGGGGAAUAACAGCCUUUUGGGAAUAACAGCCUUUCGAGAUAAACUCAUGCUUUGGAGAGAGUAUGCUGGAAAUGGGCAGAAGAUAUACCUCUAGAGUUGUGUGAUUUUGGGGGCUGAAAAUGAUGUAAGUGAACAGUCUAUAAAAAGACUAUAUCUGCUUACUUUAAAAACUUGGAAAUAGGAUAUUCUACUGUGCUUCAGUCUUCUGAAAUAAACUAACUUGCUAACAAUGUGGAAAGAUAAAAGCUUCCAAUUAUUUGGCAGAAACAACCAGCAGCCAUCAGGAAUAAUGGAAAUUGUUAGCUGAAUCUCAACAAAGACAUUUGCAUAUUGGUGAACAAAACUGCAAAUGAGUAUCACUAUUACUGGAGCAUAGUCUAUAAAAAUACUGCUUUCAUUUGGUGUCUUGCGUGAUGGUGAAGCUGCUUUUCACUUAUUUCAAAACCAAUUACUGGAAUAAUCUGAGUUUAGAAGGAGAAUUGGGAGGGGCUGAGUAUCACAGAGCAUUGAGUCAAGAUUGUAAAAUAAAGAAAUAACAUUUACCUUUGUUAAAACACAUUUUUAAGUGAGAGAAAAAUAUCCUGUACCUUAACAAUGAAGUUUAAAAGUAUUUACUUGAUAUUUAAAUUUUCCUUUUAAAAUUCCGCAGUGUGGAAUUGGACCGGCAGCAUCCCCGGGGAGCUGGUUAGAAAUGCAGCCUCUCCUGCGACUGCAUGACAGCCCCCACCUAACUGCUUCGAGGAAUCGUGUGCAUUGACAAGUUCUGGCACAAGCACCAUCGGGGCUACUUUGCUGUUUGGUGGGUGGGCAGUUGAUGGGGUUGGGAGUGGUCAAUUUGUCAGGUUGGAGAUUUCAAAGACGGGUAAUUCUGGACAUUUUGAAUGGAUAGUAAUCUUAAAACAAUUGUCAGAAGUAGAUGGAGACUCGCUGCAUAUAAUUCCCAACCCUACUGUAUAAAAGCACUAAAUAGCAGACAGUUCUAUUACGGUAUUUCUUGUAGCCUCCUGGUUAGUUCUUACAAGAUGGUUGUUAUAAAAGCCUGAGCUGGUGCUGCCCUCUCUCCCUGGCUUCCUGUUUCUAGAUGUGGUCUCUUCCUCCCACAUUGUCUCCGCCAUCACCAACUGCCAUGGGGCAGCCAGGGUUGCUGCCAUAGUGUUUGGACUUUCAGCCUCCAAACUGGAAGUGAAAAACCCUCUUUAUAAAGUUAGCCUGCCUCAGGUAUUUUUUAUACUAGUGAGAAAAAGACCAGUGCAUGAGCUAAUAUAUGACAUUAACUUUUUAUUUUACUCUUUUUAAAUUUUAUAUAUUUAUUUAUUUUUGGUACCAAGGAUCGAACUCGGGUCCUUGCGCUUGGGAGGCAAGCGACGGAACCACUGAGCUAAAUCCCCAGCCCUAUAUGACAUUCACUAUGGGCCAGGUGCUAUCCUAAAUUCUCCCUGUGAAUUAAUUAUUUAAUCCUCUUUCACCCUAGGAGGUGGAUCUAUUGUUAUCCUCAGUUUACAGCCAAGGAAGCUGAAGUACAGAGAAAUUAUUUGCUCAGAGUCAGAGCUAAUAAAUAGUGAAGACAGGAUUUGGACAUAGUCCAGCUCCACAGCCUAAGCUUUUAACCAUUAUGCUGCACUGCACGGGUAUAAAAUAAAUAAAUAAAUAAAUAAAUAAAUAAAUUCCUAUAUAUUAUGGAUGCACCCUCAAAUAAUUUUAUUGAUGGAAAAGUGAUAAAAAGG
Molecule: long non-coding RNA, 20266 nt
Filed under: Heterocephalus glaber (naked mole-rat)
Lineage: Eukaryota; Metazoa; Chordata; Mammalia; Rodentia; Bathyergidae
Description: lncRNA (ENSHGLG00100037516.1)
Source: RNAcentral